This 490-nucleotide ribosomal RNA is filed under the name uncultured bacterium. RNAcentral describes it as "bacterial SSU rRNA". It matches the Rfam family "Bacterial small subunit ribosomal RNA", at positions 28 to 507 of the family's 1533-position model. The record is from RNAcentral.
GAUGAACGCUAGCUACAGGCUUAACACAUGCAAGUCGAGGGGCAGCAGGGAUUUAGCUUGCUAAAUUCGCUGGCGACCGGCGCACGGGUGCGUAACGCGUAUCCAACUUUCCCGUUACUCAGGGAUAGCCUUCCGAAAGGGAGAUUAAUACCUGAUGGUGUUUGAAAUUCGCAUGUUCUUCAAACUAAAGAUUUAUCGGUAACGGAUAGGGAUGCGUGACAUUAGAUAGUAGGCGGGGUAACGGCCCACCUAGUCUACGAUGUCUAGGGGUUCUGAGAGGAAGGUCCCCCACACUGGAACUGAGACACGGUCCAGACUCCUACGGGAGGCAGCAGUGAGGAAUAUUGGUCAAUGGUCGGAAGACUGAACCAGCCAAGUAGCGUGAAGGAUGAAGGUUCUAUGGAUUGUAAACUUCUUUUAUACGGGAAUAAAACCUCCCACGUGUGGGAGCUUGUAUGUACCGUAUGAAUAAGCAUCGGCUAACUCCGUG